RNAcentral lists this ribosomal RNA (672 nucleotides) under Histoplasma capsulatum. Its description in RNAcentral is "eukaryotic LSU rRNA". It matches the Rfam family "Eukaryotic large subunit ribosomal RNA", at positions 119 to 807 of the family's 3401-position model. Lineage: Eukaryota; Fungi; Ascomycota; Eurotiomycetes; Onygenales; Ajellomycetaceae. The record is from RNAcentral.
AAUCCGGCCCCCCUGGGGGCCUGAGUUGUAAUUUGCAGAGGAUGCUUCGGGCGCGACCGCGGUCCAAGUCCCCUGGAACGGGGCGUCGUAGAGGGUGAGAAUCCCGUCUCCGGCCGGCCGGUCUCGCCCGUGUGAAGCUCCUUCGACGAGUCGAGUUGUUUGGGAAUGCAGCUCCAAAUGGGUGGUAAAUUUCAUCUAAAGCUAAAUACUGGUCGGAGACCGAUAGCGCACAAGUAGAGUGAUCGAAAGAUGAAAAGCACUUUGAAAAGAGAGUUAAACAGCAUGUGAAAUUGUUGAAAGGGAAGCGCUUGCGACCAGAGUCGGCCGUGGGGGUUCAGCGGGCAUUCGUUGCCCGUGCAAUCCCCCGCGGCGGGCCAGCGUCGGUUUCGACGGCCGGUCAAAGGCUCCCGGAAUGUGUCGCCUCUCGGGGCGUCUUAUAGCCGGGGGUGCAAUGCGGCCAGUCGGGACCGAGGAACGCGCUCCGGCACGGACGCUGGCUUAAUGGUCGUCAGCGACCCGUCUUGAAACACGGACCAAGGAGUCUAACAUCCACGCGAGUGUUCGGGUGUCAAACCCGUCCGCGCAGUGAAAGCGAACGGAGGUGGGAACCCCUGAGGGUGCACCAUCGACCGAUCCUGAAGUCUUCGGAUGGAUUUGAGUAGGAGCGUGGCC